AACUCGAUCUCAAAUCAAGUAAGACUACCCGCUGAACUUAAGCAUAUCAAUAAGCGGAGGAAAAGAAACUAACAAGGAUUCCCCUAGUAACGGCGAGUGAAGCGGGAUGAGCUCAAAUUUAAAAUCUGGCUGGUUUACUAGUCCGAAUUGUAGUUUAUAGAAGCGUUUUCGGUGGCAGCCUGGGUAUAAAUCCUUUGGAAUAGGGUAUCAUAGAGGGUGAGAAUCCCGUCUUUGACUCAGUGCAUGCUACUAUGUGAUACGUUUUCAAAGAGUCGAGUUGUUUGGGAAUGCAGCUCAAAAUGGGUGGUAAAUUUCAUCUAAAGCUAAAUAUUGGCGAGAGACCGAUAGCGAACAAGUACCGUGAGGGAAAGAUGAAAAGAACUUUGAAAAGAGAGUUAAACAGUGCGUGAAAUUGUUGAAAGGGAAACGUUUGACACCAGUUAUGCGGGUGGAAAAUCAGUCUUUUGCAAUGGGGAGUUGUGGGCGUUCAGACCGCAAGGCUGGCGUUUGCUUCAUCUUUGUUGUAAGUGAUGCACUUUUUCAUUUGCAGGUCAACAUCAGUUUGCUUUGCUGGACAAAACCCCAAGGGAAGGUGGCAGCUUAGGCUGUGUUAUAGCCCUGGGGCGAUACGGUGGAGUGGACUGAGGUUUCGCAGUGUGUGCUCUCGGGCAAGGCUGACUGGGUGCUAUGGGAUCGUUCGGCGUACAAUGCAUGCAUUUUGCGUCGUGUCUUUUUCAUACUCGCUCAACUCGGCUCUUCCACACUUAGGAUGUUGACUUAAUGGUUUUAAACGACCCGUCUUGAAACACGGACCAAGGAGUCUAACAUAUAUGCAAGUGUUUGGGUGGCAAACCCAUGCGCGUAAUGAAAGUGAACGUAGGUGCGAUCCGCAAGGUGCAGCAUCGACCGAUCUUGAUAUUUUUGGAUAGAUUUGAGUAAGAGCAUAUAUGCUGGGGACCCGAAAGAUGGUGAACUAUGCCUGAAUAGGGUGAAGCCAG
RNAcentral lists this ribosomal RNA (998 nucleotides) under uncultured zygomycete. RNAcentral describes it as "eukaryotic LSU rRNA". It matches the Rfam family "Eukaryotic large subunit ribosomal RNA", at positions 1 to 855 of the family's 3401-position model. Lineage: Eukaryota; Fungi. The record is from RNAcentral.